GCUGGGUCUCUGUAGCCCUUAGGACUCAGAUCCCAGAGCAGAGCAAGCCCCCGCACCUGCGCCCUGCCUUCCUGGGCCUGUGCAGCAGAUUCUAAGAGACACUCUUUCAGACCCAGGGAUGCAGUCGUCUGCCAACUUUUCAGAGCGGGCAGCCCUCCUGCUCUCUUCCUCCGUGUCGCCUGCUGGCCCUGCCCGCAAUGUGUGUCCCAGUGGAUGUGCUGC
This 222-nucleotide long non-coding RNA is filed under the name Homo sapiens (human). Its description in RNAcentral is "HSALNT0068698". Lineage: Eukaryota; Metazoa; Chordata; Mammalia; Primates; Hominidae. The record is from RNAcentral.